CAGGCAUAACAGGUGGUUGCUCCAAAAAGUUGUUAAAAUUGGAGAGGAAAGUCCGAGCUGCAAAGACAGGAUUCCAUUUAACAAAUGGCCAGUGUAAACUGAGGGAAAGUGCAACAGAAAUAAAACUGCCCAAUAUUUUUGGGUAAGGGUGAAAUGGUGAGGUAAGAGCUCACCGGGAUUUAAGCGAUUAGAUCUGACCGUGUAAACCCAAUCUGCAGCAAGAAGAGUAUGGUUAAAGUCUUCUUUUAGCUCUUCGCUUGAGGUUUGUUGUGAAACAAAUCCUAGAUAAAUAACCACCCUUGACAGAACUCGGCUUAUCGUUAUGCCUGUAGA
This 333-nucleotide RNase P RNA is filed under the name Helicobacter sp. 13S00477-4. RNAcentral describes it as "RNase P RNA component class A". It matches the Rfam family "Bacterial RNase P class A". From Rfam's summary of the family: Ribonuclease P (RNase P) is a ubiquitous endoribonuclease, found in archaea, bacteria and eukarya as well as chloroplasts and mitochondria. Its best characterised activity is the generation of mature 5'-ends of tRNAs by cleaving the 5'-leader elements of precursor-tRNAs. Cellular RNase Ps are ribonucleoproteins. Lineage: Bacteria; Pseudomonadati; Campylobacterota; Epsilonproteobacteria; Campylobacterales; Helicobacteraceae. The record is from RNAcentral.